Molecule: unclassified non-coding RNA, 378 nt
Filed under: uncultured bacterium
Lineage: Bacteria
Description: contains 16S-23S intergenic spacer region
Source: RNAcentral
UCCGAGUUAUCCCCGGCAGUCUCCUAUGAGUCCCCGGCCGAACCGCUGGCAACAUAGGACAAGGGUUGCGCUCGUUGAUGGACUUAACCAAACAUCUCACGACACGAGCUGACGACGGCCAUGCAUCACCUGUCACUUGGUUCCAAAAGGCACUCACUUCUUUCAAAGUAAUUCCAAGGAUGUCAAACCCUGGUAAGGUUCUUCGCUUACCAUCGAAUUAAAGAACAUGCUCCACCGCUUGUGCGGGUCCCCGUCAAUUCCUUUAUGUUUUAGUCUUGCGACCGUACUCCACAGGCGGGGUGCUUAACGCGUUAGCUUCGCUACGGAAGGGGUCGAUACCUCCCACAGCUAGCACCCAUCGUUUACGGCGUGGACUAC